GGCCGUCAUAUCCGCACUGGAAAUACACAGGGCUUCCAGUAACAGGCCUCGCCCAUGGAGCUCUAGCCACAGGAUAACAACAUGAGCACAGCAGAGCCUGUAUCUCUCCAGCAGUGUUGGACCUGGACCACAGCCCGAGCAGCAGGUAUUCUCAUUAUGCAUACCGUGGUCUAUCUGAAUUUUUCAUCACACGCAGGAACACAACACUGCCAUUUCAAAUUACAAAAACCAAACACUCCAUGGUCAAGCCCCUCCGUAUGUUUCCGAUCUCCUGUCCACUUACUCUGCUGCCAGGGCACUAAGGUCCACAACCGAACAACUCCUCGUCAUCCCCCAGACACCGAAAAACCAGAGGGGACCGAGCCUUUUCUGUAGUAGCCCGCAAACUCUGGAAUGCCCUCCCACCCCAUAUCAAAUCCUGUAAUACAAUUGCCAAAAAGAUUCAGAGCUAUGAACUGAACUCAACUUUUUCUUAUCUUUUUGUAUUUGCAAAUUUUGUUCCAUAGUUGUUUUUAUUCUAUGUCACAUUAUUUGACUUUACCUUGCCUAACUAUAUUCAUGGAACGUUGCACACUUGAUUAUGUAUUUUUAAGGCAUACUGUUUCUGCCUUCCCUGCUCUACCUGUAAAG
Perca fluviatilis (European perch) is the source of this 630-nucleotide long non-coding RNA. RefSeq lists it as uncharacterized. The transcript has 3 exons. NCBI's taxonomy places the organism in Eukaryota, Metazoa, Chordata, Actinopteri, Perciformes, Percidae. The record is from RefSeq and is a predicted model, not a curated record.